GGGAGUUUCUGCGGAGCUGCCCCGUGGGCAAAGCUACUUCAGUAUUUCUGCGAGGAACGUCACAUCUCACGGGGCAUCCCUCCUCUCCUCCCGCAACGUGACAGCUGUUCCGAGGGACGAGGCUGCGAGGCAGAGCGACUUAAAGCAAAAUUUGAGAUCCUCGCGUGCAGAAUAGGAGAUAACAUCUGGGCCAGAUUAAAGGCCCAGGCAUUGCAGACCGGCUCUGACAUCAGACUCCAGCAGUCAUGUGAUGAUAUCAGACUUUCAGAUUCUACUGGGGAGAAACCGCAAGUCAAAACUUUGUAGAGAAAGAAAAGAUGCUGCCUGGUGUCCAGGAUGAGAACUGCAUUUCUUUGUGGCUGAAAAAAUCCUUACAACAAAAACUUCACAGAGAAGGUCCUGGAGUUCAGCAGAGCAUAGGGGAGAGUUUGGACUCCUGCUGAUGGUGUAUCCAAGAUCAGGCUGUUUAUCUACUGCUUCUUUUCUCCUCUUCCAUCUCCCAGGGAGUUGAAAACAACACUGCCUCAGGAUAUGCUUCUUCAGCUGUAGUACUUUCAGCGUGAACUGUAUAGGAUUCUGAUUUUAAUUUGGCACUGCCCACCAGGCCACAGGGCAAGUCCAGUACUUUCCUUAUGAAAGCCACAUAGCCGUGGCUGUAUUUCAAAGCUAAAUUAUAAAAAGUCAUUUUAGAAAGUUUGAGUGCUAAAAUUUGUAAAGACCUGUAAUGCUAGGUUGAUACAGCUAAAACAUCCUUUCAAAAGAGAUUGCGUUUCAGACUGACAGAU
Molecule: long non-coding RNA, 785 nt
Filed under: Gallus gallus (chicken)
Lineage: Eukaryota; Metazoa; Chordata; Aves; Galliformes; Phasianidae
Description: lncRNA (ENSGALG00010025687.1)
Source: RNAcentral